This 290-nucleotide unclassified non-coding RNA is filed under the name uncultured fungus. RNAcentral describes it as "partial contains small subunit ribosomal RNA, internal transcribed spacer 1, and 5.8S ribosomal RNA". The stretch from base 1 to 73 matches the Rfam family "Eukaryotic small subunit ribosomal RNA", at positions 1759 to 1831 of the family's 1831-position model. The record is from RNAcentral. Lineage: Eukaryota; Fungi.
UCAAACUUGGUCAUUUAGAGGAAGUAAAAGUCGUAACAAGGUUUCCGUAGGUGAACCUGCGGAAGGAUCAUUAGCGAAUGCAGAGGCCUGCCUUACGGCGCCUCGAUUCCACACACACACACCUUUACGUGAACUGUCGAGCCGGAGACGACAUGGGUACUGCCUGUGGAGGCUCUGGCUCUCAUCCCUCAAACUCCAUAAGUUUUUGUAUGUGCAAACUGUGCGAAAUAGCAAUCAGUACAACUUUCAACAACGGAUCUCUUGGCUCCCCCAUCGAUGAAGAACGCAGC